Molecule: ribosomal RNA, 761 nt
Filed under: uncultured bacterium
Lineage: Bacteria
Description: bacterial SSU rRNA
Rfam family: Bacterial small subunit ribosomal RNA
Source: RNAcentral
AGAGUUUGAUCAUGGCUCAGAUUGAACGCUGGCGGCAGGCCUAACACAUGCAAGUCGAGCGGAAACGAUGGGAGCUUGCUCCCAGGCGUCGAGCGGCGGACGGGUGAGUAACACGUGGGAAUCUGCCCAUUAGUGGGGGAUAACUCGGGGAAACUCGAGCUAAUACCGCAUAAUCCCUACGGGGGAAAGCAGGGGAUCUUCGGACCUUGCGCUGAUGGAUGAACCCGCGUCGGAUUAGCUUGUUGGUGGGGUAAUGGCCCACCAAGGCGACGAUCCGUAACUGGUCUGAGAGGAUGGCCAGUCACACCGGGACUGAGACACGGCCCGGACUCCUACGGGAGGCAGCAGUGGGGAAUCUUGGACAAUGGGCGCAAGCCUGAUCCAGCCAUGCCGCGUGUGUGAAGAAGGCCUUCGGGUUGUAAAGCACUUUCAGUAGGGAGGAAGGCUUUGGGCUAAUACCCUGGAGUACUUGACGUUACCUACAGAAGAAGCACCGGCUAAUUUCGUGCCAGCAGCCGCGGUAAUACGAAAGGUGCGAGCGUUAAUCGGAAUUACUGGGCGUAAAGCGCGCGUAGGCGGUGUGUUAAGUCGGAUGUGAAAGCCCAGGGCUCAACCUUGGAAUUGCAUCCGAUACUGGCACGCUAGAGUGCAGUAGAGGGAGGUGGAAUUUCCGGUGUAGCGGUGAAAUGCGUAGAGAUCGGAAGGAACACCAGUGGCGAAGGCGGCCUCCUGGACUGACACUGACGCUGAGGUGCGAAAGC